ACGAGAAGCCUAUGAAAAUAUUUUCUCUUCCUUUGGGGCAAAUGAUUAUAUUUUUGAUUCUUUCGUGUCGACUGCACAUUGUAAUGAAAUUGAAAAAGCGAGAGAAAAAGAAAAUGAAGAGAAAGAAUUCGAAAAAGAAAUUGAGAUUGUACAAGAGUACGAGCGAGAAAAAGAAAUCGAAAGAAAAGAAAAAGAGAUUGAAAAAGAAAAAGAAAUAAAAAAAAGAGUGAGUUCG
Molecule: long non-coding RNA, 235 nt
Filed under: Gossypium barbadense (sea-island cotton)
Lineage: Eukaryota; Viridiplantae; Streptophyta; Magnoliopsida; Malvales; Malvaceae
Description: long non-coding RNA (GBAR_LNC011403)
Source: RNAcentral